GGAGUCUGGGCCGUAUCUCAGUCCCAAUGUGGCCGAUCACCCUCUCAGGCCGGCUACCGAUCGUCGCCUUGGUGGGCCGUUGCCCCGCCAACUAGCUAAUCGGACGCAAGCUCAUCCCCUGCCGAUAAAUCUUUUGUCAACCUCCCAUGGGGGAGGCCACGAUAUCCGGUAUUACCCGCGCGUUGGCACGGCUAUUCCCGGGCAGGGGGCAGAUUGCUUACGCGUUACUCACCCGUUCGCCGCUAUGCAUUGCUGCACCGCUCGACUUGCAUGUAUAAGACACGCCACCAGCGUUCGUUCUGAGCCAUGAUCAAACGCU
RNAcentral lists this ribosomal RNA (319 nucleotides) under Fibrobacter succinogenes. RNAcentral's name for it is "partial 16S ribosomal RNA". The record is from RNAcentral. Lineage: Bacteria; Pseudomonadati; Fibrobacterota; Fibrobacteria; Fibrobacterales; Fibrobacteraceae.